Molecule: ribosomal RNA, 2793 nt
Filed under: Triticum aestivum (bread wheat)
Lineage: Eukaryota; Viridiplantae; Streptophyta; Magnoliopsida; Poales; Poaceae
Description: partial small subunit ribosomal RNA
Source: RNAcentral
AUUUUUGAUGUCUUGACGAUGGUGUUUUCAGAGGGUUGUAUAAUGAAUCUAUCAUGUUUUCCAUGUGUGAUAGCAUCAUUUAGAAGAUUUCAGCAACUUAAUUUUGUGUUCAUUGUUGAACUGUUCUAAGUAGUCAGGUAACCACGCACUAAACCACGGUACACAUGCACGAUAAUUUAAACUGUCCCUAAUUAGCAUUGGGUGCAGCAGAGAUUAUCGGAGCUGUGGUACAGCUACCCACCGCGCUAUGUGUCCCACCUUUCCAGUCGUGUCACGUCUGGAAAAUUACUGUCCCCUCACAUCACCCCCACCCUGUUGUCAUCUACCUCCACCCCACCUAACGCAGCUCUGUGUCCCUCUGUUCUUCUCACCAGAAGGAGCUCGGCUCCCACAGAACCAGGUGCGGCAGCAUGUUCCUCGCCGCCCGAGUUUCCCUACCACGGCGAGCCCCCUCAUCCUCCGGUGCUGGGCGAGGACAGUCGGUGGGGAGCGAGGCUAGUCGGUGGGGAUCCGGACCACAUGAAGAGCAUUUUUAGGCGGGGACGGAUAAAAUGUCAAGGCUUUUUAGUGGAGUACAAGCUGCGAUGGUUAUCAAUCGGGUAGAAAACAGUGAGCAAUCUCCUGAAGAUUGGAAUAGCGAUGGUGAUGGUUCAGGCUGUUCAACCGGAGUAGCUGGCACACCAUGUUUCACCUCUAGGUUAUCACUGCUCAAGGCUGGUUCAGUAAUAGCACAAUUUAAUGAAUUCAAGCAGCAGUUAGUCAGGGAAACCGGUUUCGGAGGAAUGCUAGAGUUGAAGUCAUGGCAGAAGAUUAACUUGAAAUAUAGUGCUUUUUUGAUGGAUAGAGUUGAUUUAGAUUCCUUCUCCUUGAAUCUGGAGGCACAGGGUGUGUUGGAUUUGGUUGACAGGGAUAUGAACUAUGUCUUUGGCAUCCCAUGUGGCAAUCUAACCAUUCAAGGGGAAGGCGUUGAGCCAUCUAAAGCUUGUAUUAAGUACACGCGUGUAGCAGCAUCAUUUAGCGAGAAAGGCACACACACAGCCUGGAAGCCGCUGAAUCAUUCUUGCUUGCACCCAUAUUAGAAGAAUCAACAGAAACAAAGAAGGAUUGUUUCAAAAUUGCCUUCGUGAUUUUCAUCAUUGGACACGUGCUCGCGCCGACCGCCAAACAUGAUUACAUAUCAGUAGAUUUCUGGGCUGCACUCAACGAUGUCAGCAAGAUCAAAGAUUGGAACUGGGGGUCCCUUAUGUACGGAAGCAUCUGUUACAAGCGGUCAGGAAGUUCAAAACCGAUGUUUCAUAGCGGAAUCAAACUAUACACAUAGUCGGAUGUCAUAUGUUCCUGCAGGUUUUUGUUCUCGACAUGUUAGAGCUGGGUGUACUAAACAAGCCCCAAGGAGUAACACCAAGAAUAGGCUUGUAUGACUAUGAGUCGAUGAAAAAGAUGCUCGAGCAAAUCGCGGUUAACUUCCCCAGUGGAGAAGUCACUUUCAACAGUGGCAAGGUUACGAGCGGUACGUCUGCGGGAGGGGGGCUCGAGGCACAUGGAAAUGAUCCGGCAAAAGAAAAAAUCGCUAAGCCAGCUAUAGCCCCAAAAAGAGCAAGCACUCCAUGCUCACCAAUGCUACGAUCUACUUACACCAAGAAUGGCCCGCAGGAAUUUCCAAAUUAUAUAUGCUCGCGGUACCCUAGCAUAUCAGCACAGAAGCUUGCGGCCUAGCAAACAUAUCGAAAAUGCGGCAAGCGUUCCGAUCAAACAUGUUCACCUUGACUGACAAGCUAAUGGCGUGCCUCGGAGAAAUGUGUACAUGCUGUAAGGCACGUGGACGAAAAAGUGUAUCCUGAAGUGUGAAGGCACAACCAUCCAUGCCCCGCCUCCUGAUACGUCUCCAACGUAUCUAUAAUUUUUGAUUGCUCCAUGCUAUAUUAUCUACUGUUCUGGACUAUAUUGGGCUUUAUUUUCCACUUUUAUAUUAUUUUUGGGACUAACCUAUUAACCGAAGGCCCAGCCCAGAAUUGCUGUUUUUUGCCUAUUUCAGUGUUUCGGAGAAACAGAAUAUCAAAUGGAGUCCAAACGGAAUAAAACCUUCGAGAACGUGAUUUUCUCACUGAACGUGAUCCAGGAGACUUAGAUCCUACUCCAAGGAGUCAAAGAGGAGGUCACGAGGGUGCGGGGGCCCCCCAACCUCGUGGGCCCCUCGGUGCUCCACCGACGUACUUCUUCCUCCUAUAUAUACAUACAUACCCCCAAACGAUCAGAACAGGAGCCAAAAAGCUAAUUCCACCGCCGCAACUUUCUAUAUCCACGAGAUCCCAUCUUGGGGCCUGUUCCGGAGCUCCGCCGAAAGAGGGCCGUCAUCACAAAUGGCUUCUACAUCAUCCUAGCCCCUCUGAUGAAGUGUGAGUAGUUUACCUCAGACCUUCGGGUCCAUAGUUAGUAGCUAGAUGGCUUCUUCUCUCUUUUUGGAUCUCAAUACAAAGUUCUCCCCCUCUCUUGUGGAGAUCUAUUCGAUGUUAUCUUUUUUUUGCGGUGUGUUUGUUGAGAUCGAUGAAUUGUGGGUUUAUGAUCAAGUCUAUCUAUGAAUAAUAUUUGAAUCUUCUCUGAAUUCUUUUAUGUAUGAUUGGUUAUCUUUGCAAGUCUCUUCGAAUUAUCUGUUUGGUUUGGCCAACUAGAUUGGUAGUUCUUGCCAUGGGAGAAGUGCUUAGCUUUGGGUUCGAUCUUGCGGUGUCCUUACCCAGUGACAGAAGGGGCAGCAAGGCACAUAUUGCAUCGUUGCCAUUGAGGAUAACAAGAUGG